RNA transcript from Lycium ferocissimum, 3957 nucleotides. It is a transcript of the gene named probable LRR receptor-like serine/threonine-protein kinase At3g47570, with no coding region annotated. The record is from RefSeq and is a predicted model, not a curated record. The transcript is spliced from 2 exons. NCBI's taxonomy places the organism in Eukaryota, Viridiplantae, Streptophyta, Magnoliopsida, Solanales, Solanaceae.
AAGGGAUUUCGUACGUAGAAACUUCUGAACUUUAGGGGCUGGUUUUGAUUCCUAGAAGGGGUAAAUAUCUAAUGGGUCAUGUAUUUUUGCAUAAUCUUUAAAGGUUAAGAGCAUCAUAUAAAGAUAUCAAAAGUAGUAGAAUAAGGAAUCAAGGACCUUCAUAAAUUAUUAUGAAGAUACGCUCUGUGAAUAUAAUUACCAUGUUAAAACUACCUUCAUUAUUAUGAAGAUAGUUGCUCUGUGCAUAUAAUUACCAUAUUAAAACUACAUUCUGCGACAAAAGUUAUGAUGUAGUAUAUCUGUCUUAAAUAGAUGGCGGAAAAUUUGUGCUUAUUUAUCAGGUUUCAAACUUCAUGAUGGACGUUGACUGGUUUAUAUUAUCUCUCCUUCCCCUAUCCUAUGCACCAAAUCUGAAUAUUUUGUGUUCAUAUGGGAAUUUCAAAUCUCUGAUUAACUGGUUUUUGAAGGGAACGUUAAAUCAAUUUAAGUUACCAAAAAGAUGAAAACACCUGGCUUUUAGAAAAAGUUAAUCAAUUUCAACUAAAGAAAUUGUAGUAGGACGAUCACCGUGUCACUUUCAAAAAAUUCAUGUAAUUCAACUACCCCAUCCCUUAGUAUAACUUCCUUAAUGCCGGCCAACAAGAAACUUGACUAUCUAAACUUCUUCCAUUCUUUACUUGUAUCCUUUCAAAUAUGAGUAGAGUGUUUCAACACCCUUUUUGCUUCCAUUUCUUAAUUUCUUCAUCCUUCAUCUUCCUUCUUCACAAGUCUGCUUCACUGCCUUCAAAUGUAUCGGAUCAUUAUGCUUUGCUUUCUCUUAAAACUGGUUUAGCUUCUGAUCCCCUUCGAGUAACGUCUUCAUGGAACGAGUCGGGUCAUUUCUGCAACUGGUUUGGAGUAACUUGCAGCAGUAGACACCAAAGAGUAAUUAGAAUUGACUUGCAAUCAAGUAGAAUUGUGGUUCACUAUCACCCUUUGUGGGAAACCUUAGUUUUCCUAGAGAACUUGUGCUUUCCAAUAAUACUUUUACUGGAAAAAUCCCACAAGAGAUAGGUAAGUUGAGAAGACUCCAAGUUUUAGCCCUCUACAACAACUCAUUUUCUGGUGACAUACCAAGAAACAUUUCAAAGUGUUUGGAUCUGACUGAGCUUGGUUUGGGUGGGAAUAAUCUGUUUGGUUCAAUCCCAACAGAGUUUGAAUACUUGUCAAAGCUUCAGCUGUUUUAUGUUUAUCUGAAUGGCUUGACAGGAACUACUAUCUAGGAAACUUUUCUUCAGUUACAGUGAUUUCUACAGCUGGAAAUAGAUUAAGUGGAGAGAUUCCAAGUACACUUGGUAGGCUCCAAAACUUGAAGAUUCUGGCUAUUGGCUUGAAUAAGCUAUCUGGUGUCAUCCCUGGUGUGAUCUUCAAUUUAUCAUCAUUGCUUGAAAUUGACUUACCGGAGAAUCAACUCCAAGGGAAUAUACCAUGGGAUGUAUUUCUUACCCUUCCAAGACUGCGAAGACUUAACGUUGGAAGGAAUCAGCUAACGGGACAAGUCCCUGCUUCAGUAUCAAACGACACAUAUCUUGUGGAAUUUGGACUGAAUCGUAACAAUUUUCUUGGCAAGAUACCAACUUUUGGAGCUCUGACGAAUCUGCAAUGGAUUGCACUGAAUGGUAAUCAACUUGGAUAUGAGAGAGAUGAUGAUUUGAGUUUCAUUCCCUCAUUGAGGAAUUGCACUCAGUUACAAGUUCUGCAUAUUAGUGAGAACGACCUUCGAGGAGUUUUUCCUAGAUCUUUAGCCAACAUAACUAAGCUUAGGCGAUUUACUCUGGGAGGAAACUUAAUAUCUGGAGAUAUCCCUAGUGAAAUAGGGGUUCUGUCCCAUUUAGAGACACUUUACAAUUGGUCAAACCAACUUAGUGGAAGUAUUCCUGAUUCUAUUGGGAAACUUCAGAGAUUAAACAUAUUAUCCCUCUUCUCUAACAGAUUAUCAGGGAAUAUACCUUCUUCUAUGGGGAAUUUAACUAUGCUGACUCAACUCUAUCUGGGAGAAAAUGACUAGCAAGGUCCUCUACCCUCCAGUCUUGGAAAUUGCAGGUCUUUGUUGAUACUAAAUGUUUCUCAGAACAAUCUCAGUGGUCAUAUACCACAAGAAAUAUUUGGUAUUUCUUCAUUAUCAAUAUUACUGGAUCGAUCAUACAACCACUUGUCAGGUUCUCUUCCUUUUGACAUACAUGGCUUGCAAAAUUUGGUCUCGAUGAACCUCUCAAACAAUGAAUUAUCUGGUGAGAUUCCAAACAGCAUCUCUACUUUGUCCAGUUUGACAGAGCUUGACAUGUCUAAUAACUUGUUUGAAGGAUUUGUUUCUCGAUUUUUAAGUUCUUUGAGAAGUCUAGAAAGUAUAGAUCUUUCUCGUAACAACUUCACAGGUGAGAUCAAAGUCCUUGGAAAGCUUGCUUUUCUGAGACACGUCAACUUAUCUUUCAAUAAUUUCAAAGGAGAGGUACCAAAAGAUGGAACUUUUACAAAUGCAAGCGAGGUUUCGAUUGUUGGAAACAGUGAGCUUUGUGGGGGUGCUCCAGAGUUACUUUUACCAGGGUGCAUGAAUGAAGGUGCAUCAAGAAAGUUCAAGUUUCCACAUGUGCUAAAAUUGAUCAUACCAAUAUCUGUUGGGACGUUAGCGCUUGCAGGGGCUGUGCUUUUCGUACUGAUCUACAGUCGUAGGCCCCAAAUAGAAUUGAAUGUAUCCGAUAGUUUGACGAGGGACGGACUCGAGAAAGUUUCUUACAGUACUCUCUACAAGGCAACUGAUGGAUUCUCUGCAGAAAACAUAAUUGGUUCGGGACAAUUUAGCUCUGUAUAUAAAGGAAAACUUGAUGAAAAUGAAACAGUUGUUGCUGUGAAGGUAUUCAAGCUUCAUAUUCAGGAAGCUUCGAAAAGUUUCAAGGCUGAGUGUGAAGCACUGAGGCAUAAUAGGCACAGAAAUAUGGUUAAGAUUCUGACCAUCUGUUCUAGCAUUGAUUUUGUGGGCAAUGAUUUCAAGGCUAUUGUCUACAGCUAGAUGGUCAAUGGAAGUCUUGAAGACUGGUUGCAUCAGCACCUGGAGGAGAGGCACUUAACUUUGCUUCAGAGGCUGAAUAUUGCGAUUGAUGUGGCUUCUGCGCUGGAGUAUCUUCAUUUCAAUUGCGGAAGACCUCUAGUUCAUUGUGAUCUGAAACCAAGUAAUAUUCUGUUAGAUGAUGACUUAGUUGCUCAUGUUGGUGAUUUUGGGUUGGCAACGAUUCUUUCAGAUACAUCUUCAACAUUCUCUAGCAGAGGAAUAAAGGGAACUAUUGGAUAUGCUGCACCAGAAUAUGGUAUGGUUGUGAGUUGUCAACACAAGGUGAUGUAUACAGCUAUGGAAUGCUUUUAUUGGAGAUAUUUACUGGAAAGAGUCCAACAGAUGAUGUUUUGAACGAUGAUCUAAACCUCCAUAAUUAUGUGAGGAAUGCUAUACCUGAACGCGUUAUAGAAAUUUCUGAUCCUGCUCUUUUUCGCGAUCAGGAAGCAAUUCUCUGCAAUCAAGGAGUUAAGGAAAUAAGCGGCUCUCAAGCACCUUUUGAGCCUAGUAAGGAUAGAAUUACGGAGCAUUUCCAUAUUUCGAAUUGGAAUUGCUUGUUCGGUGGAAUCAGCAAGAGAGAGGAUGGAUAUGCGUGAUGUCACCAGUGAACUGCAUGUCAUCAGAUGCUUUUCCGGUAAGUGCCACUGAUGUAAAUUAAGAAGAAGGUUAAAGAGUUGCACAAGAAAUUAUUGUAAAGUUCAUAUGUAGAAAAUUCAUCUAGACUUUGUGGUUCAAUUCUAUUAAGAUUAUUACCAAUGUUCAGUUCUACUAGCUACUUGCAGUUCCUUCAGUCGGAUGCCUACUCCAAUGUUCAUAUUACAAUAAAUUUCCAUUUGUAACUAGUAGUCGUAGAGCUAGAUUGUUUUUUUCUG